This 331-nucleotide unclassified non-coding RNA is filed under the name soil metagenome. Its description in RNAcentral is "partial contains 5.8S ribosomal RNA, internal transcribed spacer 2, and large subunit ribosomal RNA". The stretch from base 1 to 120 matches the Rfam family "5.8S ribosomal RNA", at positions 35 to 154 of the family's 154-position model. The record is from RNAcentral.
GAUGAAGUACGCAGCGAAAUGCGAUAAGUAAUGUGAAUUGCAGAAUUCAGUGAAUCAUCGAAUCUUUGAACGCACAUUGCGCCCCCUGGUAUUCCGGGGGGCAUGCCUGUUCGAGCGUCAUUUCACCACUCAAGCCUCGCUUGGUAUUGGGCAUCGCGGUCCGCCGCGCGCCUCAAAUCGACCGGCUGGGUCUUCUGUCCCCUAAGCGUUGUGGAAACUAUUCGCUAAAGGGUGUUCGGGAGGCUACGCCGUAAAACAACCCCAUUUCUAAGGUUGACCUCGGAUCAGGUAGGGAUACCCGCUGAACUUAAGCAUAUCAAUAAGCGGAGGA